GAUGAACGCUAGCUACAGGCUUAACACAUGCAAGUCGAGGGGAAACGACAUCGAAAGCUUGCUUUUGAUGGGCGUCGACCGGCGCACGGGUGAGUAACGCGUAUCCAACCUGCCCUUGUCCACGGGAUAACCCGGUGAAAACCGGCCUAAUACCGUAUGAGGUCACAAGCGGACAUCCAACUGUGACGAAAGGUUUUGCGGACAAGGAUGGGGAUGCGUCCGAUUAGCUUGUUGGCGGGGUAACGGCCCACCAAGGCAUCGAUCGGUAGGGGUUCUGAGAGGAAGGUCCCCCACAUUGGAACUGAGACACGGUCCAAACUCCUACGGGAGGCAGCAGUGAGGAAUAUUGGUCAAUGGGCGAGAGCCUGAACCAGCCAAAGUUAGCGUGCAGGACGACGGCCCUAUGGGUUGUAAACUGCUUUUAUAAGGGAAUAAAGUGAGUCUCGUAAGACUUUUUGCAUGUACCUUAUGAAUAAGGACCGGCUAAUUCCGUG
RNAcentral lists this ribosomal RNA (494 nucleotides) under uncultured bacterium. RNAcentral's name for it is "bacterial SSU rRNA". It matches the Rfam family "Bacterial small subunit ribosomal RNA", at positions 28 to 507 of the family's 1533-position model. The record is from RNAcentral.